Molecule: signal recognition particle RNA, 299 nt
Filed under: Saimiri boliviensis boliviensis (Bolivian squirrel monkey)
Lineage: Eukaryota; Metazoa; Chordata; Mammalia; Primates; Cebidae
Description: Metazoan signal recognition particle RNA (ENSSBOG00000002445.1)
Rfam family: Metazoan signal recognition particle RNA
About the family: The signal recognition particle (SRP) is a universally conserved ribonucleoprotein. It is involved in the co-translational targeting of proteins to membranes. The eukaryotic SRP consists of a 300-nucleotide 7S RNA and six proteins: SRPs 72, 68, 54, 19, 14, and 9.
Source: RNAcentral
ACCGGGAGCAGUAGCACAUGCCUGUAGUCCCAGCUACUCAGGAGGCUGAAGUGGGAGGAUCGCUUGAGCCCAGGAGUUCUGGGCUGUAGCGCACUAUGCUGAUUGGGUGUCUGCACUAAGUUCGGCAUCAAUAUGGUGACCUCCCGGGAGCAGAGGACCAUAAUGUUGCCUAAGGAAGGGUGAACCAGCCCAGGUCAGAGACAGAGCAGGUCAAAACUCCCAUGCUGAUCAGUAGUGGGACUGCGCCUGUGAAUAGCCACUGCACUCCAGCCUGGGCAACAUGGCAAGACCUCAUCUCU